Molecule: unclassified non-coding RNA, 2499 nt
Filed under: Leishmania donovani
Lineage: Eukaryota; Euglenozoa; Kinetoplastea; Trypanosomatida; Trypanosomatidae
Description: gene:LdHU3.08.1170(CDS-product:mitochondrial_DNA_ polymerase_beta)
Source: RNAcentral
CAGAGAGCACUCAUCUCCUAGGUUAAGCGCAUCAUCCGCCUGCGUACGCCCCCCUCCCCCUGACUCUCGCAUACCCAUACCGGUAGGUAUAUACAUAUAUAUAUAUAUACGUGUGUAUAUCAGCCCUCAUAGAGAAGGAACAAGCCUCCCUGAACAGGAAGAGCAACGCGUUCGCGGCGUCAUCGGCAUACGCCGACUGGCUCCACUCCCUUUUUAGCAGCCACACGGACAAGCACGCACCCGCCACAUGCACAUACGCGUUCCCAUCGAGCUCUAGAUACCGACACACGUACGAAUACAUAUAUAUAUAUAUAGAGAGAGAGAGAGAGAGGCACGCACACGCACCCAUACGCGCCCGUGGACAUACACGGCCCUCGGUGAUACGGGCUCUUGCUCUUCAUAACGGAUCGGACGCGCCUCGUCACGGCUGUGCGAGUGCGUGUUUGCUUGCCUCCCUUCGUCCUCAGGUUCCUCCUUGCAAGCAGACGGACAAUGCUCCGCCGGACGUUCCUGCGUCGCGAUCAUCGCGAGAACAUCAUCCGCAUCUUCCAGGAGAUGGCGGAUUUGAACAACGCUCUGGGCGAGAAAUACAAGGUGAGCAGCUACCACCGCAGCAUCGAGAGUCUCAAGACGAACCUCGACAAGCCUCUCAACACCCCGCAGGACCUGAAGGCGUUCUCCGGCUUCGGCGCGAAGCUGCUGAAAAAAGCAGAAGAGAUCAUGGCCACCGGGAAGCUCGAGGAGCUGGAGAGCAAGACGAAGCCGAAGCUCAAAGCCAUCCAGGAGCUAACACAGGUGCACGGCUUCGGCCCUCGCGCCGCCGCGGCGCUCUUCGACCGAGAGGGCAUCUUCACCGUGGAUGAGCUGCUGCAGAAGGCUGACAGCAUCCCGUCGUUGACGGACCAGCAACGUGUCGGCAUCAAGUACUUCUACGACAUCAACGAAAAGAUCCCGAUGCAAGAGAGCGUGCUGCAUGAGAACUACCUGCGCGAGAAGUGCAUGGAGGUGCUCGGCAAGGACUUCUCGAUUCUUAUCUGUGGUAGCUACCGCCGUCGCCACCCCUUCAGUGGUGAUGUGGACGCGAUCCUAUCACGCACGCUCGACGCGCCGCCGCUGAGCGAGCCGGUCGCCGCGACCGGCGUACUAGGACACUUUGUGGAGUUCCUCGAGAGCCUCAAGUACCUGGAGGCGACCAUGGCGCAGGGGCCCCUCAAGUACAUGGGGAUGGGCCGGCUGCCGCCCCGCAUCGUCCGCGACAAGGCUGGCCGCGAGAACACGAAGGUGUACAAGGCGCGCCGUGUGGAUAUCCGUCUCAUCGAGACAAAGAGCGUGCCGACGGCGAUGCUCACCUUCACGGGAAGCAAGAACUUCAACGUCAUUAUGCGCCAGGCCGCCAUCAGCAAGGGCUACUUGCUGAACGAAUACGGCCUCUUCAAGCUGGGCACACCCGAAGAAGCGCGUGCGCUGUACGAGCGCAUCGGCAUUCGCGGUAAGAAUGCUGGCGAGGAGCUUGGCGUCCCGAAGGACGAGCUGGAGGACAAGCGUGUUGAGGUGCGGUCGGAGCAGGAUGUGUUCGACGUACUUGGGAUGCCCUACGCCAAGCCGGAGAACCGCGACCCUUAAAGUUGCACUGUGAUCACGUAAGCAUAGAGAGGGCGAGGCGAAGAUGAAAGGCCUUUGCCGCAUCCCAGCGGCACACCAUAGAGUGUUCGGGAGCGAGUGCGACAACGCAAGGAGGAAGGGGGUGGGUGGGGAGGGGCAUUCUGAAAGAGAGAGGAAGAAAGCUAAACCCUGCGCUGCCGUGCUUGGCGGUGCGGCUGUGUGGGGCGCCUACACGCGUGCCGUUGGCUGUUGCUCAGUGCUUCGGCCCCUCCCCUCUGCUUCCUCUGCUUCUUCGCCCUUCCUCUCCGUUCUCUUCUUGGGCCACGCUGUGCUGUUCCUGAGCGCGGCUUUACAUACACACACACAUAGGUGUAUGCACCCCAUCUUUAUAGAGCGCCGGCGCGCUUGCAUCCUUCGUGCGCGUUGUCGUCGUGGUGCGGUGAUGUUGAGCGGUACCUCGUUAUUUUCUGUUCUUGUCGUCCCUUUUUUUGUGUGCGUUGCGGCACCCCGUGAUGGCCGGUCGGGUGUCCCCCUCCUCCGUGCGUGGUAUCAACAGGAUACCGUGCACCUUACCCCCCCCCCCCCCCCCCCCACUAUCUCUCUGUGUGUGCUUAGGUGUUGGUGAUGUGUGCGGCGUGUUUUCCCGUUGUAUGCGUGGCGUUGCUCUGGUGCAUCCGUCACAACGCGGCCUGUAGCGGCGGUGAUAAACGAAGAAGCAGGAGAGCACGAGGGAAGGAUCUUCUCCGCCCCCCCCCUCCCCCCUCGCCAAGAGGGUGUGGGUGGGAUGCGCGUGUGUGCUUGUAAACUGUGGCUUACUCUGUUGUGUUGUCCACCUUCGCUCGGCUCCUGUUCGUUGGGUUCGUUCAUCAUGGUGUCGAGCCAAAGUACAGUGAAACC